This 30-nucleotide small RNA is filed under the name Bombyx mori (domestic silkworm). RNAcentral's name for it is "ovarian small RNA-36138". The record is from RNAcentral. Lineage: Eukaryota; Metazoa; Arthropoda; Insecta; Lepidoptera; Bombycidae.
UGUUCUGUAUUUGUGCGAUGCGGUUCGCAA